Molecule: small nuclear RNA, 170 nt
Organism: Cavia porcellus (domestic guinea pig)
Lineage: Eukaryota; Metazoa; Chordata; Mammalia; Rodentia; Caviidae
Gene: U2
Rfam family: U2 spliceosomal RNA
About the family: U2 is a small nuclear RNA (snRNA) component of the spliceosome (involved in pre-mRNA splicing). Complementary binding between U2 snRNA (in an area lying towards the 5' end but 3' to hairpin I) and the branchpoint sequence (BPS) of the intron results the bulging out of an unpaired adenosine, on the BPS, which initiates a nucleophilic attack at the intronic 5' splice site, thus starting the first of two transesterification reactions that mediate splicing.
Source: Ensembl
AUUGCUUCUUGGCCUUUUGGCUAAGAUUAAGUGUGAUAUCUCUUUUCAUCAGUUUAAUAUCUGAUACGUCCUAUAUAUCAGGACAAUAUAUUACAUGGGUUUUUGGAGCUGGAAGAUGGUAUAGGAGCUUGCUCCAUCCACUCUGAGGAAACAAAACAAAACCAUACACA